RNAcentral lists this ribosomal RNA (253 nucleotides) under uncultured bacterium. RNAcentral's name for it is "partial 16S ribosomal RNA". It matches the Rfam family "Bacterial small subunit ribosomal RNA", at positions 524 to 776 of the family's 1533-position model. The record is from RNAcentral.
UACGAAGGGGGCUAGCGUUGCUCGGAAUUACUGGGCGUAAAGGGCGCGUAGGCGGAUAGUUUAGUCAGAGGUGAAAGCCCAGGGCUCAACCCUGGAAUUGCCUUUGAUACUGGCUAUCUUGAGUUCGGGAGAGGUGAGUGGAACUCCGAGUGUAGAGGUGAAAUUCGUAGAUAUUCGGAAGAACACCAGUGGCGAAGGCGACUCACUGGUCCGGUACUGACGCUGAGGUGCGAAAGCGUGGGGAGCAAACAGG